GGUGCUUUGUGCUCAUGGCCCUGAGGUGGAAUGGAGAAUCUGUACAAUAUGGGAAGCAGCUUAUGGCCUGAUUCCUUUAAGUUCCUCAGCAGUUGAUCUUCCUGAAAUUAUAGUUGCUACUCCAUUGCAACCUCCCAUAUUAUCAUGGAACCUAUACAUCCCUCUCCUUAAAGUCCUGGAAUAUCUUCCUCGUGGGAGUCCUUCAGAGGCAUGUCUCAUGAAGAUAUUUGUUGCCACUGUCGAAGCAAUUAUUAAAAGAACCUUCCCACCUGAGUCCUCUCCAGAAAACACUCGAAGGGCAAGGCAUCUCUCGGGCAUAGGAUCUGCCUCUAAAAAUCUUGCUGUGGCAGAGCUUCGAACAAUGGUCCAUUCACUUUUUUUAGAAUCAUGUGCCUCUGUGGAGCUUGCAUCACGCCUACUAUUUAUUGUCUUAACUGUGUGUGUUAGUCAUGAAGCUCAGUCCAAUGGGAGCAAGAAACCAAGAGGUGAAGAAAAUUAUUUUCCUGAUGAAAGCACCGAGGACUUACAGAAAGAUCUGAGAACUAGAAAGGUGAAAAGACAAGGGCCUGUAGCAGCAUUUGAUUCAUAUGUUUUGGCUGCUGUCUGUGCUCUUGCUUGUG
RNAcentral lists this long non-coding RNA (620 nucleotides) under Citrus sinensis (sweet orange). Its description in RNAcentral is "long non-coding RNA (CSIN_LNC001496)". Lineage: Eukaryota; Viridiplantae; Streptophyta; Magnoliopsida; Sapindales; Rutaceae. The record is from RNAcentral.